This 122-nucleotide transfer RNA is filed under the name Candidatus Woesearchaeota archaeon. RNAcentral describes it as "tRNA-Arg". It matches the Rfam family "tRNA". From Rfam's summary of the family: Transfer RNA (tRNA) molecules are approximately 80 nucleotides in length. Their secondary structure includes four short double-helical elements and three loops (D, anti-codon, and T loops). Lineage: Archaea; Nanobdellati; Candidatus Woesearchaeota. The record is from RNAcentral.
GGACCCGUAGCCUAGCCUGGAUAGGGCACCAGCCUUCUAAGCUGGGGAUCGUGAGUUCAAAAUCAGCAUACAGUGCUCAGCAUUCUGCCUGCCGUAUGCUGAUGACUCUCUCACCGGGUCCG